Molecule: long non-coding RNA, 1553 nt
Organism: Quercus lobata
Lineage: Eukaryota; Viridiplantae; Streptophyta; Magnoliopsida; Fagales; Fagaceae
Exons: 3
Source: RefSeq, a predicted model, not a curated record
ACAAUAAAUCCUAAAAGGAUAGCAUUAUUUAAUUUUAUUAGAUUUUAUCAACUACUAAAGCUGAUAAAUCAAAAAUGCACUAUGAAAUGUGAUUAUUAUUUACACAGAGACCAGAGGUUUUACUGGCAAAGGCUAAAGCCAUUUGAAGCUCAUACUUAUGGUUGCAUUGCAUCGAUGUUGUGUAUCUUUAAUUUCCAUGUUGCUUAGUGAGUAAGUGAGUUUUUUUUUUUUAAAUGAUUUUAUUAGAUUUUAUACAUUGAGAACCGGGUUCUUGGGUUCUUUAACAGUUUUGAAUAAUCAGUCACAUUUUCAAGUGCUACUCAAUCAAGCAGCUAAUUAUUCCAUUCUUAGAAAUUUGGGUUGUGUUUGCUACCCAUUGCUAAGGCCUUGCAAGAAUCACAAACUGAUAUUUCAUUCCAAAAGGUGCAUAUUUUUGGGGUAUAGUGCUAAUCAUAGAGGAUAUAGGUGUCUUGAUCCAAUUACCAAUAGUCUAUUUGAGGACAUUUGGUGUUUGAUGAACUUCAAUUUCCUGAUCGAAAAGAGAGUCCCAGCGUAUUUCAUCCUGCUACAACAGAUUCUGAACAAGUGAGAGAAAUUCCCUGCAACUCCAACUUUAUUAAUUAAGGCUCUACAGCUUCUCCACCUCACAAUGAUCAACCUAUGGUUACUCGAAGUAAAUCUGUUCAAGGAAUGGCAGAAAGCAAUGCAGGAUGAAUUCUCAACCGUGCAUGCUAAUGAUACUUGGAGUCUAUGUCCACACCCAGCCAACAAGAAUGUAAUCCACAGCAAAUGAGUUUAUUAAGUGAAGCAAUGUCUUGAUGGUUCUAUUGAGAGGUCCAAGGCCUAAUUGGUGGCUAAGGGAUUCCAACAGCAAGAUAGUUUGGAUUACCCAAAAAAAGAACGUUAGUCUUGUUAUCAAAAAACAGCAACCGUCAGAGUGGUUCUUGCACUUGCAAUUCAUUUUAAUUGGCCACUUAGACAAUUAAAUGUCUAAAAUGAUUUCCUCCAUGGGACUUUGGAUGAAGAGGUUUUUAUGGAGCAACUUUUGUGAUUUUUUUAGUCAACAUUUCCAAAUUAUGUGUGCAAAUUGAAGAAAGCGAUCUAUGGUCUCAAGCAAGCUCCACAUGACUAGUUUAAUCGACUCACAUAAUCUUUACUCAGUCUUGGUUUUACUGAAUCUUAUGUUGAUUAUUCUUUGUUCAUUUAUGUAAAUCAAGUAUCAAGAUUUUCGUUUUAAUUCAUGUAGAUGAUAUCAUAGUGACGGGAACUAGUCUACAAUUCAUUCAUUAUCUGAUACGUUGCAUGAUUUGUGAUUUUACUAUGAAGGAUUUAGUUUCUUUGCAUUCUUUUUUGGGAAUCAAGGUUGAUUGUGAUGCAUCCAAUUUUUAUCUUUCUCAAACCAAAUAUAUAGUUGAUUUUCUCCUUUGUUGCAAGAUGGAUGGAGCUACACCGAUGACCUUUAGUUCUAAAUUGUCACAAAGAUCAGGUGAUCCCCUCUCGGAUCCAACUGAGUAUAGAAGCAUUGUUGGUGCACUUCAAUACUGUACCUUAAC